This 429-nucleotide ribosomal RNA is filed under the name Gemmatimonadota bacterium. RNAcentral describes it as "Gemmatimonadetes bacterium partial 16S ribosomal RNA". It matches the Rfam family "Bacterial small subunit ribosomal RNA", at positions 355 to 776 of the family's 1533-position model. Lineage: Bacteria; Pseudomonadati; Gemmatimonadota. The record is from RNAcentral.
UAGGGAAUCUUCGGCAAUGGACGAAAGUCUGACCGAGCAACGCCGCGUGAGUGAAGAAGGUUUUCGGAUCGUAAAACUCUGUUGUUAGAGAAGAACAAGGACGUUAGUAACUGAACGUCCCCUGACGGUAUCUAACCAGAAAGCCACGGCUAACUACGUGCCAGCAGCCGCGUUAAUACGCAGGUGGCAAGCGUUGCCCGGAUUUAUUGGGCGUAAAGCGAGCGCAGGCGGUUUCUUAAGUCUGAUGUGAAAGCCCCCGGCUCAACCGGGGAGGGUCAUUGGAAACUGGGAGACGUGAGUGCAGAAGAGGGGAGUGGAAUUCCAUGUGUAGCGGUGAAAUGCGUAGAUAUAUGGAGGAACACCAGUGGCGAAGGCGGCUCUCUGGUCUGUAACUGACACUGAGGCUCGAAAGCGUGGGGAGCAAACAGG